Molecule: ribosomal RNA, 492 nt
Filed under: uncultured bacterium
Lineage: Bacteria
Description: partial 16S ribosomal RNA
Rfam family: Bacterial small subunit ribosomal RNA
Source: RNAcentral
AGUGAACGCUGGCGGUAGGCCUAACACAUGCAAGUCGAACGGCAGCACAGUAAGAGUUUGCUCUUACGGGUGGCGAGUGGCGGACGGGUGAGGAAUACAUCGGAAUCUACUUUUUCGUGGGGGAUAACGUAGGGAAACUUACGCUAAUACCGCAUACGUCCUACGGGUGAAAGCAGGGGAUCUUCGGACCUUGCGUGAUUGAAUGAGCCGAUGUCGGAUUAGCUAGUUGGCGGGGUAAGGGCACACCAAGGCGACGAUCCGUAGCUGGUCUGAGAGGAUGAUCAGCCACACUGGAACUGAGACACGGUCCAGACUCCUACGGGAGGCAGCAGUGGGGAAUAUUGGGCAAUGGGCGCAAGCCUGAUCCAGCCAUACCGCGUGAGUGAAGAAGGCCUUCGGGUUGUAAAGCCCUUUUGUUGGGAAAGAAAAGCAGCAGGUUAAUACCCCGCUGUUCUGACGGUACCCAAAGAAUAAGCACCGGCUAACUUCGUG